CUGAAAAAAAAAAUAAUAGUAAUAACAAUAAUAAAUUUCACUCUCACAAUAUAAAAAUUGAUUGAUUUGAUUUGGGGAGAUUGAUAUAAUCAUAUAAUCAGAAAUUGAUAAAAUUAUCAUCAUAAAGAGAGAGAAGUAGAGAUUUGGAAAUGACUGAUUGGAUUUGCAGAAAUUGAUCUUCAUAAGAACAGGCAGCAGCAGUGCCAAUGGGAGGAGAAGGGAAUGGCAUUUGGGGGAAAGCGUACCAGGAGGUCUCCAAUACCAAGCCUUUGUUCCUUACGAUUUAUGCCACCGUCCUCGUUGGAAUCCUCUUCUCUUCCUUCUACGUUUUCUCCGCUGUCUACUCCGCCUCCGAGUCCUCCUCUCUCUCCUCCACUGCCUGGCUUUCCUAUCCUCCCUCUUCUCUUUCUCAUGUCGAUCAAUCCCUCAACUUUUCUCAUCAAGCAACACCAGCUGUAGGUUCGAUUACAUCAACGCCACGGCCUCCCAACAGCUUACAGGUUAAAUCCAUUUGGGAAGUUCCUCAACACAAUUCGAAAAUGCCUCCUAUCAAGAAAUUUAGACUCACAAAACAACUGGUUGAGCAAAGGGUCAAGGACAAUGUCAUUAUAGUUACCUUUGGUAAUUAUGCGUUUAUGGAUUUUAUCCUUACUUGGGUUAAGCACUUGACGGACUUGGGGCUUUCUAAUCUUCUUGUUGGUGCUAUGGAUACCAAGCUAUUAGAGGCUUUGUACUGGAAAGGUGUUCCAGUUUUUGACAUGGGAAGUCGCAUGAGUACAGCAGAUGUUGGCUGGGGCUCACCUACCUUUCACAAAAUGGGGAGAGAAAAAGUUAUUCUGAUAGAUGCUAUCCUCCCUUUUGGCUAUGAGCUACUCAUGUGUGACACGGACAUGGUUUGGUUGAAGAACCCUCUGCCAUAUCUUGCUCGCUAUCCUGAUGCAGAUGUUUUAACUUCAAGCGAUCAAGUUGUACCGACUGUUGUUGAUGACAGGUUGGACAUCUGGCAAGAAGUUGGUGCAGCCUACAAUAUUGGAAUUUUCCACUGGCGGCCAACAGAGUCUUCAAUUAAGUUGGCGAAAGAAUGGAAAGAUAUCCUUCUUGCCGAUGACAAGA
Molecule: unclassified non-coding RNA, 1113 nt
Filed under: Hevea brasiliensis (rubber tree)
Lineage: Eukaryota; Viridiplantae; Streptophyta; Magnoliopsida; Malpighiales; Euphorbiaceae
Source: RNAcentral